GAUGAACGCUGGCGGCGUGCCUAAGACAUGCAAGUCGAGCGGUAAGGCUCCUACUCUGUACUCAAAGUUUGAGUAUGGUGUUGGAGUACACGAGCGGCGGACGGGUGAGUAACACGUAGGAACGUACCCCAAACUGAGGAAUAAGCAUCAGAAAUGAUGUCUAAUACCACAUGUGAUCUUCGGAUUAAAGCUUCGGCGGUUUGGGAACGGCCUGCGCAUGAUUAGCUUGUUGGUGAGGUAAUAGCUCACCAAGGCGACGAUCAUUAGCUGGUCUGAGAGGAUGACCAGCCACACUGGGACUGAGAUACGGCCCAGACUCCUACGGGAGGCAGCAGUCGGGAAUUUUCCACAAUGGACGAAAGUCUGAUGGAGCAACGCCGCGUGCAGGAUGAAGGCUUUCGGGUCGUAAAC
RNAcentral lists this ribosomal RNA (411 nucleotides) under uncultured bacterium. Its description in RNAcentral is "bacterial SSU rRNA". It matches the Rfam family "Bacterial small subunit ribosomal RNA", at positions 28 to 430 of the family's 1533-position model. The record is from RNAcentral.